RNAcentral lists this ribosomal RNA (350 nucleotides) under uncultured Blastococcus sp. RNAcentral describes it as "bacterial SSU rRNA". It matches the Rfam family "Bacterial small subunit ribosomal RNA", at positions 790 to 1140 of the family's 1533-position model. The record is from RNAcentral. Lineage: Bacteria; Bacillati; Actinomycetota; Actinomycetes; Geodermatophilales; Geodermatophilaceae.
GUAGUCCACGCCGUAAACGUUGGGCGCUAGGUGUGGGGCUCAUUCCACGAGUUCCGUGCCGCAGCUAACGCAUUAAGCGCCCCGCCUGGGGAGUACGGCCGCAAGGCUAAAACUCAAAGGAAUUGACGGGGGCCCGCACAAGCGGCGGAGCAUGUUGCUUAAUUCGAUGCAACGCGAAGAACCUUACCUAGGCUUGACAUGCACGGAAAUCCUCCAGAGAUGGUGGGUCCGUAAGGGCCGUGCACAGGUGGUGCAUGGUUGUCGUCAGCUCGUGUCGUGAGAUGUUGGGUUAAGUCCCGCAACGAGCGCAACCCUCGUUCUAUGUUGCCAGCACGUUAUGGUGGGGACUC